Molecule: ribosomal RNA, 429 nt
Filed under: uncultured Gammaproteobacteria bacterium
Lineage: Bacteria; Pseudomonadati; Pseudomonadota; Gammaproteobacteria
Description: bacterial SSU rRNA
Rfam family: Bacterial small subunit ribosomal RNA
Source: RNAcentral
UGGGGAAUCUUGGACAAUGGGCGCAAGCCUGAUCCAGCAAUGCCGCGUGGGUGAAGACGGCCUGCGGGUUGUAAAGCCCUUUUCGCCGGGAAGAAGGCCCUGGGUUGAACAGGCUCAGGGGGUGACGUUACCGGCGGAAGAAGCACCGGCCAACUCCGUGCCAGCAGCCGCGGUAAUACGGAGGGUGCGAGCGUUAAUCGGAAUUACUGGGCGUAAAGCGCGCGUAGGUGGUCAGUUAAGUCCGUUGUGAAAGCCCUGGGCUCAACCUGGGAACGGCAAGGGAGACUGACUGGCUAGAGUGUAACAGAGGACCGUGGAAUUCCCGGUGUAGCGGUGAAAUGCGUAGAGAUCGGGAAGAACACCGAUGGCGAAGGCAGCGGUCUGGGUUAACACUGACGCUGAGGUGCGAAAGCGUGGGGAGCAAACAGG